UGCCAAGACCCACUCUACUUUUUUAUUUUGAAGAGUUGGGUUGUCAAAGCUAUUACACUUUUGACACUUGUUUGACACUUUUUUUGUUUUAAACAAUGAAGAGGCAGGAAAUUUUUUUUUGUUUUUAAUUUCAUGAUUAAGAACAACUGAACAUUAUACUCAUUUAAAUCAACCCAGUUACAUAGUUUCCGUAAGUUAACGGCUGCCAAGUGUGUUCUUCAGUGACCCAUCAUGAGCAACAUUAUCUGAUGGGUAAAACCGAUUUUAAGGUUAGACAUGGUAUAUGUAAAAAUAGAAAGUUUAAAAACCAAUCUUGUCACAGACACUUCCAUUGCCAUCUCCUUUGUGAAAUAAAUAAGGCAGCAGAUAACUUUUACUUUGAAGUGGCAUCUUUGAGAUAUGCUAUUAAGUCUACUCUCUCAGACUUCUUCUUGAUACCCGCAAAAAUCAUCUUUGUUCCUGGGAUGUACUUCUUUGGAUUUUCCAAAUACUCCAUCAGAGUAUCCUCACCCCAAGUGAUACCUUUGUUCUUAUUGGCAUCUGUGUAAGAGAAGCCCUCAGCUUGUCCUGUUUUGCGUCCAAACAGGCCAUGAAGGUUGGGUCCAGUCUUGUGCUUGCCUCCUUUUUCAACCGUAUGGCACUGGGAACAUUUCUGGACAAAAAUCUUCUUGCCCUUCUCAAUAUCUCCCAUUGUCAGUACUGCUUAGCCGGCCGCUCCGCUUACAAUGCGCCCACGGCGGUGACCACAAGUCCGGCUGCCCCACACCGUCCGGCUUCUGCGCCCAAGGACACGCCGGACUCCGCCCUAUGUAAGCCGG
RNAcentral lists this long non-coding RNA (818 nucleotides) under Gallus gallus (chicken). Lineage: Eukaryota; Metazoa; Chordata; Aves; Galliformes; Phasianidae. The record is from RNAcentral.